This 65-nucleotide transfer RNA is filed under the name Modiolus modiolus (northern horsemussel). Its description in RNAcentral is "tRNA-Phe". It matches the Rfam family "tRNA". From Rfam's summary of the family: Transfer RNA (tRNA) molecules are approximately 80 nucleotides in length. Their secondary structure includes four short double-helical elements and three loops (D, anti-codon, and T loops). Lineage: Eukaryota; Metazoa; Mollusca; Bivalvia; Mytilida; Modiolidae. The record is from RNAcentral.
GGGUUUGUAGCUUAAUAAAAGCGCUCUGUUGAAAACGGAGAAGAUGGAUGAAUGUCUCAGCCCCA